GACGAACGCUGGCGGCGUGCUUAACACAUGCAAGUCGAGCGGUAAGGCCCUUUCGGGGGUACACGAGCGGCGAACGGGUGAGUAACACGUGGGUGACCUGCCCUCAGCUCUGGGAUAAGCCUGGGAAACCGGGUCUAAUACCGGAUAUGACUCCAUGACGCAUGUUGUGGGGUGGAAAGCCUUGUGCGGCUGAGGAUGGGCCCGCGGCCUAUCAGCUUGUUGGUGGGGUGAUGGCCUACCAAGGCGACGACGGGUAGCCGGCCUGAGAGGGCGACCGGCCACACUGGGACUGAGACACGGCCCAGACUCCUACGGGAGGCAGGCAGUGGGGAAUCUUGCGCAAUGGGCGAAAGCCUGACGCAGCGACGCCGCGUGAGGGAUGACGGCCUGGU
RNAcentral lists this ribosomal RNA (392 nucleotides) under uncultured bacterium. Its description in RNAcentral is "bacterial SSU rRNA". It matches the Rfam family "Bacterial small subunit ribosomal RNA", at positions 28 to 420 of the family's 1533-position model. The record is from RNAcentral.